RNAcentral lists this long non-coding RNA (213 nucleotides) under Lathyrus oleraceus (garden pea). RNAcentral's name for it is "Pisum sativum (pea) long non-coding RNA (PSAT_LNC005547)". The record is from RNAcentral. Lineage: Eukaryota; Viridiplantae; Streptophyta; Magnoliopsida; Fabales; Fabaceae.
UAAACUAAAGAACAAAUCAUGAUAAAAUCAACCAUUAACCAUAUUAAUAGAAAUAAAAUCCACAAAAAAGAAAUAUCAAGGCCUUAUGAUUAAAAUCCUAAUCACGACAUGGUUAAACAACUCAUGAAUUAAUUCUGGAAAAUUAAGAAACUAAAUCUAAUCUAGCAAUUAAAUUAAACCUAAUUAUACCUAAUUACUCUAAUUAAAUCUAAU